This 2819-nucleotide long non-coding RNA is filed under the name Arabidopsis thaliana (thale cress). RNAcentral's name for it is "potential natural antisense gene, locus overlaps with AT1G51640 (AT1G51645)". Lineage: Eukaryota; Viridiplantae; Streptophyta; Magnoliopsida; Brassicales; Brassicaceae. The record is from RNAcentral.
ACGUUUACAGAUUUAAUUUCCGGUCUAAUUGGUACAAUUCUUCCGUCGGACCCGUCGUUGACCGCCGUUGAUUUUUAAGUCUCCCCUGCCGUAAGAACUCUAUUUAACAUUGACCUACGACGGCGUUCAACUUCUUCGUUCUUGCUUCUCAAGAAGGUUCGCUCUUCAAGUUUAAAGUCUCAAUUUUUUUCUUGUAAAGUUGCAAAGUUGGAAACUUUAAUUUUGGUUUGACCAAUCUCGAAGUUACAAAUUACUUGAGUACGUAGUUUCCUAUAAUCUUUUGGAUUCAAUUUCAUUACAACAACCAAUUUUAUACAAUUCACACCUCUCUAUGUUAGGCUAAGCUUCACUAAGAAACGAGUGUCUAGUUUCGUGAUCUUGUCUAAGUAUUAUCAUAUAGCUUCUAAUGUCGAGCGAGAAUUCUGAGUAAUCUCCAAAUCCAUCACUUUGUUCACAAAGUGAGAAUCUUUGUCUCUCUUCUCUGUUUCUUCUUUCUUCUGAAACAUUGUCUUCAGCUUCAUCUCUAAACCCUUUGGAGUAUAAUAUAAAUGCUUACUAUCACUCGUAGGAUCUUCUUCUACUAGAAGCUUUAUGUAGCUUUGUAGGUAACUCUUGUAUCUUGGCACAACUGUUUUCACCAUUGCUUGACAUAUCUUCCAUACCAACUUGUCAUCCUCAACAACCCAAUUUGAUUGCUUUGUGUAUAUCUCAUCAAAUCCUUUACAAAACGCUUGUAAUGUUCGCUUAAUGGACUCACGGGCUCGUUUUCCUUUCACAGGAGAUGAUUCUGAUGAUGAUGAUGAUGAUGAUGAAGUGGUUUGAGCUUUGUUUGUGAGUAGAGACAAGAGAUGUCCCCAGCUUUCUUUGACAUAAAGUGCAGCGUAAUAGUCUCUGUACUGCUCGUGUGCGUUUAACCAAGACUCUCCCAUCAUUUCCCCGAGAUAAGUCUCUCUCAAGCCGCAGAAAUGGGAGUGAUUGUUCAUCAUAAAGAUGCAAGAAAGAGCGGUUUCUUUGUUGGAACUUGACCAUGCGUCCAAGUUCAAAGCAAUCUCUCUCAGUAUGUUGUAGAUGUGACCUGUGAGAAGCUCUUCUUGAUACUUUGCGUUCUUCCAUCCCAAAUCAAUUUCUAGGACCUUCGACAAGAUUGGCUUGUUGUUGUUCCCCAGUAGCUUGUUGCAGUACUCAGUCACAACGCUUACAAGCUUUGGGACACCUCCAUCAAGAGGUGGGCAAUUUGGUCUCUGUAGCUCUACCUGACAAGGUAACUCCCAGAAGAUCUCGGAGACACCCUUAACGAGAUUGCUGAUUAGCUCCCGUGUAACUCUGCGUAUCUCUGAACAUUGUUCCCCUCGAAAUAGCCUGUUAAACUCUAUCCGAAAGUUGUCCAUUGUAGAGAAACAAUCUAAGAGCUUGAUCAGCUUUGGUGGCUCUCUCUUGCAUUUGCUGAUUCUUGAUCCAAAUCUGAGAAGCUGAAGGAUCACUGAAUUUGAAGCUAUUUCUCCAAAGCAACGCAAGGGAACAUCUUCUCCAAUAUCUUCAAAUACGUCAUAGCAGAGCUUACUCUCAAACUCGUAUAUCUCUUUCACAGCUAUCUCCAUAUGCAAUCUCCAUUGAUCUAUAUCGCCUUCAAUAUCAUGUACAUUAUCAGCUUCUGUGAUUGUUUUCUCCAGAUAACUAAUCUCAAACCGUUUCUGAAUGACCUUGGUGCGGACUUUGAUGUAAACUGGUACGCAGCUUGUUAACCGCGUGUGAGCAUGUAAUCUCUUGAUGAUAGCCUGCAACUUUCUCAAGUUGUCUUCUGAGAAAACCGGCUUCUCUUGGAGAAUCCGCUUGAAUUCUGUUUCAAGAUUCUUCAGCGCUGUGUAAAGAAUACCUCCUUUGAGAUAAGCACGAGACUCGGUCAUUUGCAAUUCCCGGAGAAGCUCUAUGGAAGUCUUGAACCGCAAACCGCAAGGAUGAUCUUCAGGCAUUCCCUUUUCGGUUAGGUACUCGAUCGUAUCUUCUAGCCAGUUAAGAGCAAGAACACAGCUACUGGAGAGAAGCUUCAUCGCUUCUCCAAGACGUUUAACAUCCGAAACAUAACCAAGGACUCCAUCAGAGGACACGAGAGAUCUCUCAAGCUCUUGAACCGUAGCAAAGACUCUCAGGACAGCGGAUAUUGGAGCAAUGGUGUGACGGAUAUGAUCAGAGAAAGGAGAAGCCUUCCAUCUCUCAACUUUAAGAUCAGCUUCUAAAGACGACAACUUAUGGUUGAUCUCUUCAAUCUUGGAUCCAGUCUUGUUAAGAACCAAUGAAAAGGUUUCAGAUUUCUCCAUCUCACUCUUCAAUAAACUUCUCAUUGCUUUAAGCCUCUCAAGUCUCUUUGAUUCAGCCAUUGUUUUGCUGCUUACUCAGUGGAGGAGGAUAUGAUUGUUGCUUCAACAACUAUAUAUGGAUUUGAUAACAAUCCUUUAUCCUCGGAAGAUAAACCAAAUUUCUUACCAAACCCACCAAAAUAAGUAAUUACCAGUGUUCUUCUUCUAAAGACUUCUAUAAACCAAAACAAGAUCACAUAUAAUCAUUAACUUAAAGCAAAACCCAAAGUCUUGUUUUAUUUGUUAGUCAGCUCAACCAUCUUUAUCUGAAACUAAACUGUUUCUCUCUUCUUUGUUUCUGACAAGUCAAUGAGAUUGGUGUCUUCUCUCUGUUGCACAUUUAAUAUUAACUUUUGAAAAACUACAAAACGAAACAAAACAAAGAAAAGCAGACAUUUACACGAAAUUAUGCAGACAUAUACACGAAAUUCAAUCUACCUGAAAAUGAGAAUAAGUUUUGAGUAA